GCAUAGGCAUUCCAGGGAUCCAAAAGGGAAACUGGCAGACCGUGGUUAGGAGCCGGAAGCUAACAAAUCACUGCUUAAACACAGGACGGGAGGCAAAAGCUCUAUCCAGUGCAAAAGCCAUCGCCUGGUAUGGGCCCUGGCACUCUCAGCUGCAAGGUCCCUGGAAUUAGAUCCCAGAAAGGCAUUCCAGGUUUACGUCAUUAAACCUUCUGGCAACGGGCUGAUGACCCUACCCUGAGUGCGUGUGUGUGUCUGGAGGCAUGGAGUGCUCCACCCCAGGGAUGGCCUGAGUUCAACAAAAUAGCAGAAGGCGGCUAAUCUCUCACUCCAGGCCUGGCAGCGUGAGCUGAGACAUCCGGCUUCUCAUUCCCUUGGACCAGGACAGACACCAGCAGCACUCCUGGUUCUCAGGCCUUCAGACUCAAACUGUAAUUCACACCACUGGCUUUCCUGGUCUCCAGGGUAGAAACACCAGAUCGUGGGCCACCUCAGCCUUGCAAUUGUGUGAACCAAUUCCUUAUAAUAUGGCUCAAUCUGAACUUAGCUGUAUGUUGAUCUUCCUGGUUAUGUUUCUCUGGAGAGUCCUGAUGCAGAGGGGACCUCUGCUUUACUCAGUCCACUGACUGAAAUGUUCCCCUCAUCCAGUAACAUUCCUCCCCUCCACACACACAGCACAAUGUUUGACCAGGUGCCUGUCAUCUUACAGCCCAGACAAGUAGACAUAGAAAAUGAACCACCCAGGGUGGUCAAAGACAAGGGAAGGGGCACAAAUAAAGUUAGGGAGGAAGGACCUUACACUUCACAGUAGCAUUUGAAGUUUAUUCUAAGUACUUUCAGGUAUUUUUGAAGAAAGUUAAAUAAGGAAUGACUUGGUCCCUUAUUCUGAAACCAAUCGCUUUUUCUAAAAUGCAAUUAUUUAUGUAUUUGAAAAUAUAUCUCCCAUCUGUUGGUUCAGUCUCCAAAUGCCAACGGCAGCCAGGGCUGAACUUUGCUGAAGCCAGGAACCAGUCAAUCUGGGUCUCCCAGGUGGGUGGCAGGGACCAAGUACUUGACCUGUCUACUGCCUCCUAGAAUAUGCAUCAGCAGGAAGCUAGAAUGGAGAGGUAGCCAGGAAGGGAAUCCACGCAGGCACUCCAGUAUGACAUGCAGGUGUCCCACUUAGCAGUGUAACUGCUGCACCAAGUGCCUGCCCCACCCCCGACAGAGGUGAGAGAGAGCUGUAGAAGAGAAAGUGGAGGGCAGGGAGGGGUGAUGGCAGCAGAGACAAGCAGCUCCACUAGAGGAAUAUUUUGGAGGUUUGGUGUGAGGGAGGGAAAGGGAUAAAUCACGAAUUAGCAAGCUUCUGAAAAAGACUGCAGUCUGCAUUCUCCGUGCUAGGAUGCUGAAUAAGACAGUUGCCACAUUCCUUAGAGCAGAAAUCAGCAAACUAUAGCCUGCCUGUUUUUAUAUGGCCCGUGGGCUAAAAAUUGGUAUGUUUUUAAAUGGUUGAAGAAAAUCAAAAGGAGAAUACUUUGUGACCUGCAAAAAAUUAUAUAAAAAAACUCACACUUCGGUGUCCGUAAAUAGUUUUAUGGAAACGCAGCCACACUCUUUGGUUUGUGUAUCUUCAGUGGCUGCGUUCGCCCUAGAACAGCGGAGUUGAGUGGUUGCAGCCGAGACCAUGUGGCUCACAGGACCUAGGAUAUUUAUUCUCUAGCUUUUCACAGAAAAGGUUUGCUGAGGCCCUUGCUGCUUUCUUCAGCAGUGUCUGGAAAUCCGGGAUGGUGUUCAUCUGUGCAGCUCAUCUAACGCUCACCUACCUCUUGGCAGGGUCACUGUCACUGGUGUGAAGUUCUGUUUUUUCCGCCUGUAACAGGAAAGUCAGCAGCAAAGGAGCCUUCUGUUCUGCAGCGUUAGGGCCUUGGCCCAUUCCAACAGCCGAUGAAGGCGUUUCCUGACAUGGAAGAGAACCGAGAGGGUUCUGGGAGUCCUGAGGUUGUCUGCUCUUGUACUGGAAGGGACGGCCUUGGGCAGUGUUGGGAAGCACACCGGUGGGCCUUGGCUCCCUGAGGUGAGGAGCAGACUGCCUGGGGGAAGGGAGGAAAGGCGGGCUGAGGGUAGCCCACGCCUAGGUAGCCCACACCUAAUCCUUCCUCCCCCCACAAUUCACUUUAAGGAAUACAACUUCAUGCAUUUUCAAGGACUCCUCUCCUGGCCAGAUUCAGUGAUUGUGGCUGCCAGGGUGAGGCUGUGUGCCAGGCAUCGAGCUUCUGGUGGCCAUGCAGUGCAGCAGGUUGGUCUCUUGAACACCUUGGUGUGGCCAAGUUUUCCUACAAACAGAAGCCUAUCCGCAGGGUUCCUCUGGUGCUGGAGCAAAACCCCCCAGCCUGCUUUUCAGAGCAAAUGGAGCGUUCCUUAGUCCUAUGAGACACAAUGCCUACGUGGUAGUCUCCAAUGGGUAUGAAUUGGAUGCAUUUUUUUUUUUUCCAUUUUGGGAAGACUAUUUGAACACUUAUAAUUGGGGUGCGAUCUCAUAAAACUGACGUGCGGGAUCUUCUUUAUGAAAAUCUAUUUCUGCAAAUGUGAGUGUGACUUAAGAUCAUAAAAGCUGGAGCCGGCGCUGUGGCAUAGUAGGCUAAAACUCUGCUUGCGGCGCCGGCAUCCCUUACGGGCGCUGCUCCAAGUCCUGGCUGCUCCACUUCUGAUCCAGCUGUCUGCUAUGGCCUGGGAAAGCAGUGAAAGAUCACCCAAGUGCUUGGGCCCUUGAAGCUCCUGGCUCCUGCUUUUGGAUCUGCCCAGCACUAACCUUUGCAGUCGUUUCAGGAGGGAACCAGCAGAUGGAAGACUCUCUCUCCAUCUCUCUCUAACUCUGACUCUCAAAUAAAAAUCUUAAAAAUAAAUCAUAAAAGCCUAGAAUGACUAUGUGGUGUGAGUUCUCAGCUGGACCCCUGUUUAGGUGGAGGGAUUUUUUCAGGAGUGCAUCCAGGGCACAAGGCUGUCCUCAGUCAUCUGAGAGGCACUUUUCCUACACCUCCAAGCAUUGCCCGUGAGAGUCCUGCUGUCAGAGUGCUGACAUUUAUAGCUCUAAUGGCAGGCCCAGGUUUAACAACUACAACCAGAAAUGCAAGGUUUCCCAGGACAGCUCUUGGCAUUGCUGAAUGGAGACCAGGGUUCUCUCUUGGGCUCUGUCAGAUUUCUAGAGCUGUGGCACAUCUUCAGUAAAAAAUAUCGACUGUGCCUUUCUCAUCUUUGUUUACUUCCUGUUUCCAUCUUAACCUGAUGUUCUGUUUCGCCGUUGCUUACACCUCAUGGAGAAAUCUGAAAAGAAUACUGAGUAGGAAGCAUUCUCAAAAAUGAAAAAAAAAUCUCCAGCAUUAUUUUUUCAUACUAUGCUAAUCAUUUUUGAAUAUAUUGUACAGAUGGUAGAUUGUAUUUUUGUGGAAAGUUUUUUUUAAAGCCAAGUUCAUAGACAUGAUCUUGAAUUUGUAAUGCUGUAUUCCUAAGUGUCUUUUUUGGCUGUCAAAAUAGCGCUGUCUUUAAAAAGUACAAUAUAGAUACCAUGGUGAGGCUGAUUACUUAAGCUUGCUUUCUUUAUAAAAAAAAAUUAAGUAUUUUCCCCUCACUAUAAAAGUAACAUAUUCAUUAUUGAAAAUUAGUUAAAUAAGAAAAAUAAAAAUAGGGACAAUGAUUCGGUUUAGGUACCACCCUUAGGAACAACCACCUCCUUUUCUUUUCUUCACCCCUUUUUUGAUCAUGAAAUGUGUAACAUGAGAUACAUUCCACAUUUGCAUGAUAUACAGUUCCACCUUAACUGCCUGUGUCUCAGGUACACAGGGGACAAAACAUUUGGCUUGGAGAACAGAUUAAUAGAGAGCUUAAUUAUGUGAAGGCUUUCCAGACAGAUGGAAAGAUCAUAAGUUUUAGGGACUUAGAAAACUCAGUUUUAAUAAUAGAAUUAAAAAUAAGUUGUAUGAGGGUACUUCAGAAAAUUCGUGGAAAAACUGAAUUAAGACAGAAUUCUUUUGGGACAACUUUUGAAGUCUAUGUGAAAUUUUUUCAUAAUACACAUUUCCCUCCAACUUCUUAGAGACUGUUUGUUCUUAGAAAGUUGUUUGCCUAUGUUUUAAAUGCAAGUUGGGGUAAUAGUAAUUUUGGAACGUUACCUAAGGGUCCUCAGGUGAUGCUGGCUGGGAGGCAGGUCCUUUGUGAUGGCAGGGGGCAGCAGUAGUUCUCACCUCUGAAGCGUCUACGGCACAGGGCUGGUGUAUUGUGUAUUGUAAAGAGACACAUAAGAAAAAUAUUUUAGGCCUUGCACACCAAGAAUGAAAAUCAAGAAUAUAAGACAGGUGUACUUACAUGAAUAUGACCAAAUAAGAAUGUAAAAAUCAUUCUUCAAUCACGGGCCGUAUGAAACAGGCAGCUGGCCAGAUUUGGCCAACUCCCGUCCUCGAAUGCCUUCACACAUCACCUGUACUCAGAACACCAGGCGGUGGUCAUGCCUCUGCUAAGCGGUGGGUUCCUGAUUCAGACCAGGCUGUCUGGACCUGGAGCAUCCCUCAUCUGCAUUCCACGCCCUGCCUGAGGGUCAGAGUAGCGGCCUGUGUAACCAACAGGACUGCAGUUCUCUGAUUCUGCAGCUCUACACUUUUUCCCUUUCUGAUCCCUCCUCCCUCUAGCCCCCUCAACCCCACCUUCCCCUGGAGCUCACCAAGUUCUCAGGGCAUUUUCAUUGGAUGAUCUCUCUUUUUUUAUGUUAAGGUUUGUUUGUUUAUUUUGAAAGAGUACAGACUAGGACGGAGAGGCAGAGAGAGAGAGAGAGAUCUAACUGUUGUUAUACUCCCAAAAUGACCGCAACAGCCUGAGCUGGGCCAGGCUGAAGCCAGGAGCUUCAUUUGGGUCUCCUCUGUGGGUGGCAGUGGCCCAAGUACUUGGGCCAUCCUCUGCUGCUUUUCCUAGGCCACCAGCAGAGAGCUGGAUCAGAAGUGAAACAGCUGGGUCAUGAAAUAGUGACCAAAUGGGAUGCUGGCAUUGCAGGUGGUGGCAUUGCCCACUAUGCCACAGACCUGGCCCUUGGAUGAUCUCUUGGUGGAAUGCCCUCCCCUGGUGGCUGACUGACUCCUCAGCCUUCAGGGUUCAGCCUAAAUUUUAGCUCAUUUGAAGAAUCUCUCCUCAAAUAUUUGUCCUUGUGCUCUAGGUGAUCUAUCACAUCAUCCUUUUUUCCCCGUUAUUUCCUUCCUUCCUUCUCUCCACUUAUGAGCAUUUUUCAUGUUCUGUAAUUGCUUUGUGUUGUCUCUUUGCUUGUAUGUCUAUCUGAUUCUACUCAAGAGAAUAUAAGCUCCAAGGAAGUAUCUGGACUUUGUUCUUUUCAUUAAUUCAUUCCCAGGUCCAGAAAGUAUCUGUAACAAAAUAGGUGCUUAGUAAAUAUUUCACCAUGUCUCCUUUAAAAAAAAAAGAAAAAAAAAAGGUUUGUUUAUUUGAAAGGCAGACUUGCAGAGAGGCAGAGAGCAAUCUUUCAUCCACUGGUUCACUCUCCAGAUGGCUGCAACGACUGGAGUUGGGCCAAUCCAAAACCAGGAGCCAGGAGCUUCUUCCUGGUCUGCCAUGCAGGUGCAGGGGUCCAAUCACUUGGGCCAUUUUCCACUGCUUUCCCAGGCCAUAGCAGAGAACUACUUAGGAAGUGGAGCAGCUGGGACUUAAACCAGCACCCAUGUGGGAUGACAGCACUGCAGGUGGUGGCUUAACCUGCUAAGCCACAGCGCCAGCCCCUUGACACAUGUCUUAAUUUUCUACUUAACUCCUUAUUUUUCAUAAAUCAGCUUAAAUUUUCAAUGUGAGCUUCUCUGAUCCAAUUCUAGGAAUGGUACUCCCAUUAUUUUUCUUUGUGGCUAUAUGAGCCACCUCCUACUUGGUAAGCUCUGGAUGUGGGGAAGAAUCUGUCUCUUACAGAGGGAGGUAUGAGAUGUGAGCCACAGGAACCCACAGCAGCCUGGAUCCAUGCACAUGGCCAAAGUUCGUCAGUAGUGAGAGAAGGAAAGUCACACAGGGAGAGACAUGCCUGGCAAAAUCGUGACUGAUCCAGUUGUUGUGGGAACCGAAGGUCCUGCUCCUCAAACGUUAAUGUUCCUGAGACUCCUGGGAUCUUCUACGAGUUCUGAUUUAAAUUAUCUGGGGUGAGGCCAAGAUUCUGAAUUUCUGACCUACUUUUAGAUGCUGUUGAAAGCAGCCAGCCAACAUACCAGACACAGGUCCAGGUCAGCAUUUCUCAACCUCAGCAAUGCUGACAUUUGGGGUCAGAUUAUUCUUGGUUGUAAAAGGCUGCCUUGGUACUGUAGGGUGUCUAGCAUGAUCCUGGCCUUUGCCUACUAGAAAUCAAUAGCCGUUGCCCAUUUGUGACAACCAGAAAUGUCUUCAGACAUUGCCAAAUGUUUCCUGGGUGAUGAAAAUUGUCUCCAUUUGAGAACUAGAGGCCUAUGGGCUUCUCUGCCCUACAUUUGCUUUUCAUCCCGACUUUGAAAUCUCUGGGCCAAUAAAUUUCCCUUUUGUGUGAGCUCAUUGGAUAUUUAUGAACCUCUAAUUGAGUCCUGCAGUUUACAUACAUGCAAGCCUGUACUUACUUGUGUGCCUUUAUCUGUAUUUCUUGUGUACUCAACCAGGUUCUGUAACUUCAUUCUGAGUGUCUUCAUUUUGAUGCUGUAAUUGAAUGCUUAACAUGGCAGCCAGGCUGUGGAAGGUAGUUGAAAAAUGCUGAUUGAAUGGGAUUUUAUAAGGGAUGAAGUAUAUAAGUCUUUUUUUUCCUCCCCUUUUGAGCCUCUAUGAUUUUUUUUUUUAGAUUUAUUUUAUUUAUUGGAAAGUCAGAGAGAGAGAGAGCUCUUCCAUCCACUGGUUCACUCCCCAGUUGGCCACAACGGCCGGAGCUGUUGCGAUCCGAAGCCAGGAGCCAGGAGCUUCCUUCAAGUCUCUCAUGCGGGUGCAGGGGCUCAAGGACUUGGGCCAUCUUCUGCUGCUUUCCCAGGCCACAGCAGAAAGCUGGAUGGGAGGUGGAGCAGCCGGGACUCGAACCGGCGCCCAUUUGGGAUGCUGGCGCUUCAGGCCAGGGCAUUAACCCGUUGCUCCAUAGCGCCGGCCCCAGCCUCUAUGAUCUUUUAAAAAAUGUUUUCUUCUGGUGCUUUAUCCUCAAAAAUAUACUUAAAUGUAUGACUUUAUCAGUUCCCACGUUACAGGUCUCUGGAUCAUGAGCAGAGUGUGCCCAGCAUUCCAGAUUGUUCCCUAGUGGCCCUUCCGACUCAUAUGAGCAUCUUUAAAGUUUCGUGUUUUUUUUUUUUUUUUUAAAUUAAUGAUAAGGAAUCUGUGUUUACUGUGGGAAAUUCCAAAAGUACAGGAAAGCAAUAGGAAAAAAUUAUACUUUCUUAAUACAUUCUCUUACUAUUUUGACAUUCAGCCUUUCUGAAUUCUCAGUACCUAUAAAUGCACAUAAACCUCUAUUUUCAAAUUACAGUAGGAAAAUGUAAUUCAUAUUGUUGUAUCUAGUUUUCCCCACUUAACAUUGCAUUGUUAAUAUCUUUAUGAAUAAGUGCAAAGCUGAUGCAGUAUUAUGAUGACAAUAUGGAAUUCAGUAUAUGGAUAUACCAUAACUUAUGUAACCCAUCUCUUUUUAUGGUCACUUUUCAAGAAUUGGAUGUUUACAUGGUUUUUAAUUUUCACUCUUAUAAAUACUUUUCUGACAUUUAAUUGAUACUUAGUUCUUUUCUUUAAGAUUUUACUUAUUUGAUAGGCAAAAUGACAGGGAGGGAGGGGAUGAGAGAGUGAAUGAAAGAGAUCUUCCAUCUACCAGUUCACUGCCCAAUAUGCUUGUAAUAGCCAAGGCCAGGCCAAGCCUAAGCCAGGAGCCCAGAGCUCCCUCCUGGUCUCCAUGUGAGUGGCUUCUUCUGCAGCUAUCUUCUGCUGCCUUUAUGGAAGCAUUAGCUGGAAGCUGGAUUGGAAGCAGAGCAGCCAGAUCUCAAAUUGGCGCUGUAAUGAAGGGUACUGGUAUCUCAAGUGGAAGCUUAACCUGCUGUUCCACAAUGCUGGCCCCUAAUUCUUUUCUUUCUUUCUUUCUUUUUUUUUUUUUUUUUGACGAGCAGAGUUAGAGACAGAGAAAGGUCUUCCUUCCGUUGGUUCACCCUGUCCCCCAAAAUGGCCACUAGGGCUGGCGUACUGCGCUGAUCGGAAGCCAGGAGCCAGGUGCUUCCUCCUGGUCUCCCAUGCGGGUGCAGGGCCCAAGGACCUGGGCCAUCCUCCACUGCCUUCCCGGGCCACAGCAGAGAGCUGGACUGGAAGAGGAGCAACCGGGACAGAACCAGCGCCCCAACCGGGACUAGAACCCGGUGUGCUGGUGCCGCAGGUGGAGGAUUAGCCUAGUGAGCCACGGCUUUUCUUAAGAUUGUUUUUUUACUGUUCAGUGGCUGAGGCAAGAAGAAUGAACUCUAAUAGAACCUUCAGUGCACACAAACUUGGUUGCUAGAUCCAUUUCCUUAAUUAGUUAAAAUUUUCAUACAUACAUGCAUGUGGAGAGAAAGUAGGUUUACUGUGUGCUGUUGAUGAAAUAGUCAGUGUGGAAGAAUAGAGUGAAGAGCAGAUAUUUCUUUUGCAAACCCUCCAUUAACUCUCCUGAAAGGUGAUGCCAUUAACAAUUUCUUAGAGGUAUAGGAAUAUUGACAUUAGUAGACAGAUAAGGCCUUUAAAGGUGGAAAUGCUCUUUAAAACUUGGAGUUCUCAGAAGACAAUAAAAGGAUUCAAUGGACUCAAUCCAUAGUCCAAUUCAGGGGUCAGCAAACUUUCUUACCAAGGGCCAGAUAAUAAUAAGGCUUUGCAAGCUAUAUGGUCUCUGUUGCAGCUACUUAGAUCUGAGGUUGGAAGGCUGAAACAGACGUAGAUAAUGCAUGAACAAGUAGGUGUGGCUGUGAUCCAAGAAAAUGGUACUGACAGUAACAGCUGGAUUAAGACUGCACAACCAGUUUGCUGAGGUCUGUCCUAUUAAAAUGAGUUAUAUGUAUUAAAAUGUGAAUAUUCACAGUAAUUAAUUAUACAGUUCAGAGAAUGGGAUGUGACAGAAAACUUGAGCCCUUCAUAAAGGGUCUGGGGGAAAGAUGUGUCUCAUGGUUGGCAAUAGUCUCCCUGUGGGCCAUUCUGGUUGUGUAUUUGGUAUCCUAUAUACUUCAAUGUAAGAAGUGGGAUCCCACAUGGACAUUUAAUCUGUUGCACCACAACACCUGUCCCUUAUUAUUUGAGAGGCGGACAAAGCCAGAAUGAAAGCUCUCACAUCUGCUGGAUCCCCAGUUGCCCACAGCAGCUGGAAGUGAGCAAGGCCACAGCUGGGAACUGUAACAGUCCAGGUCUCCUACAUGGGUAACAGGGACUCAGUCACUUGAGCUGUCUCACUGCCUUCCAGAAUCUACAUUAGCAGGAAACUGGAAUUGGGAACAGAGCUGACUGGAACCCAGGUACUUUGGUAUGAGACACAAGCAUCUUAAAAAAAAAAAAACUAUGAACUAUAUUGAACCUGUGAAAAACUAAUAAUUUUUUAAAAAGAGAAAAAAAUGAAAAUGCAUAUUAGGAAAAGCAUUGCAUGGAUUUCAAUUUUUCUUGCACCAAAAUAAACAUCUUUUAAUUCCAUUUUCCAUUAACUUUUUGAAGUAUGCUCAUAUUUAAUGUGACCUGUGAGCUUCCUGUGGUGGUUUUUUUUCCCCCUCUGUUUCCUUUCUAAUUAACAGUUAAAAAAAAAAUCACUGACUCCAAGACUUAGUAUAAAGCACACACACACACACACACACACAUUAUUUUAUUUACUUGAAAGGCAAAAUUUCAGAGAGGAGAAACACGCUUUUAUCUACUGGUUCACCCUCCAGAUGGUUAGGCUAGGCCAGAAUCAGGAGCCUGAGCUUCAUUUAGGUCUCCCAUCUGGGAGGGAGGCAGGGGCCCAAAUACUAGGGACAUCUUCCACUGCUUUCUCAGGUGCAUUAGCAGGGAAACUUGAUGAGAAGUAGCGCAGCUGGGACUUGAACUGGCACUCUGACAUGGGAUGCUGGCAUUGCAGGAGGCAGCUUAACCCACUGUGUCACAACACUAGCCCAGGUAUCCUAACCAGAGUCUCAACCACAAGACCAAAGACCCAUCCCAGUUAUGUUGAUGCACGGAGAGGAGUAUUUUUGGUGCUUGUUCUAUCUUUGAUGAAGGAUUUGGGGAUCAAAAGUGAUUUUCCUUGUUGAAAGUUGUCAAAAAUAGUCACAAACCAGGGUUCUGUGGCUGAGAAAGCAACUUGUAUGUCGGGAACAAAACAAUUUCAGACCUGGUUGGCUUAAGAUGCAAAAGUUUAUUUCUCACUCAUUCAUCAGGUUCAUCAUGGGGCAGCUGAGGGCUCUGGCCACAUUGUCGUUGCUCUGGGAUCCAGGCUGAGUGCACAGUUGGGUCUGCUUCCAGGUGCUUCUGUUCCAUCCAAGUCAGGGCCCACAGUCUCUGGCCCAUUAUGACCUUCUCCCUGCCUAUGCUUGAGGAAUGAAGUUGAGUGUCCUGUUCCCUACCAGCACUCUCCUGUUUCCACGAAAACUUCCUGAACUGCGUUCUCAUUUGUAAGACUUAGGAACAUACAUCACUGGAUCUUUGCUCGUGUUAUUUCCUUGACUUGGUGAGGCUGGGAAAUCUUGCCUACCUGUCUGCUGUGAAGAGGGUGAAAUUGUUUGGCAACAGCUACCAAGUCACUGGCUAACCUUUAUUUAGAGUUAAUCUACAUUCAAAUUUGGAUUCCCAUCACUUCCCAUGGAGGUAGGAGGCCACUUUGUGGAAUGUGUUGUGGAGUGAGGUGGUAGGAAAAGGGAUUAAGUCCUUGAUAAAGAAAAGUGAAUUGCUUGCAUUGUUAUUCUGUGUUCCAGUAGUUCUAUGUAAGUCUUUCCAUAUUUAUGAUACAUUAAGCUACAAUACUUUGUCAUUUUCUGACACCAAAUUUUUUCAGAAGACUACUGGAAAUACAGUGUGUCACAUAGUACUCCCAUACAUGGUACCAGUAGUUUUUUUUUUUUUUUUUUUUAAGAUUUAUUUAUUUGAAAGGUAGAGUUACAGAGAGGCAGAGAGAGAGAAAGAUCUUCCAUCCUCUGGUUCACUCCCCAAAUGGCUGCAGCUGGGCCGACCCGAAGCCAGGAGCUUUUUCCAGGUUUCCCACAUGGUUGCAGGGGCCCAAGCACUUGGAUCAUCUUCUGCUUUCCCAGGCCAUAGUAGAAAGCUGGGUUGGAAGUAGAGCGGCUGGUUCUCUGUUGCCUAUAUUGGAUGCCAGUUCUGCAGGCAGUGGCUUUGCCUGCUACACACAGCACCAGCCCCAGUACCACUACUUUUAUUUCUAUGUCACGGUAACACUGCCUUGGUUGAUUAAGUGAUGUAUGUAUUAUGAAAUUUAUUUGGAUGAAUGGGGAGUUCCUGUAAGUGUGGCAUGUAUCUUAGUGGUACUAAUGUUUGAAGGAAAUGGUUUCCUGGAAUUCAAGAUAGUAAGAGAAUUGUAAUUCAAUCAGUGUAAUAAGUCACUGAACUUUGUGUAGAAGGGCCUACAUUUAAAUUAAAAACGUUAAAAGCAGUAACCUGUUCUCAAUUUUGGUAGUACCAGGAGAUAAUGGAGCUUUUAAGUGGAAUGAAUUCAAUUUACAAGUACAGCAAUUGUACCUCCAGUUGCCUGUGUUUUCCACAGUGUAUGUUUUAUUCUUUCAAAGCUUUAUCAAUAACUAAAGUAAAUGAACUGUCUGUUUCCCCUCUGUUUGCUAUUUAAAAUUUUCUCUAGUUUCUGAAUUAUAGGACUUUUUUUUGACAUCAGGAUUAUAGGUGUGUAUGCGGUUGUGUCAGGUGUAUAUUUUCAUUAUUUCCUGGCCAGAAAGAUGAUUUUAAACAUAAACUAAGACUCUCAGGAAUUACAUGUUUGAUGGUAAAGGCAUGUUUUCUUAGGUGGUUUUGAUGUGACUGAGCUCAGAUCUCCCAUUUAGAGUUGACACCCUUCAGCACAUGAAGCUUCAAGACGUGCAUCCUGCUUUCAUAAGCAGGUGCCCCAGGGAGUCACCAGAGGUGCUGAUUGCCUUCAGGAACUGGUCAGUCUCCGAGAGAAAUCAAGACCAUUUUCUUCCUUAGGGAUAUUACAUUAGAUUUCUAGGACUGCUGUAAGAAAUUAUGAUGAACUUGAGGCCUUAAAAUCAGCUGAAUUGAUUCUCUCUCAGUUUUGGAGGCCAGAAUGAUGAAAUGAGUUCAGCUGGGCUGUGAGUAGAGCUGGAUGCCUCCCUGGCCGCUCUAAGGGAGAGUCCAUUCCUUGCUUCUCCCAGCUUCUGGUGGGCGCUGGCACUCACUGGCCUGUGACAAAACACUCCCACCUGUCUCUGGUCACAGGCCUUCUCCUCUCAGUCUUUGUCAUGUAUUCCUCUGUCCCCCUUUAAAAAGGACAAGUGGGACUGCCUUUCCAGUCAUCCCAGAUAAUCCAAGACAAUCUUCCCUAUUUCAAGAUUCAUAACUUAAGCAUAUUAGCAAUAUACAUCUUUAAAACACACUAACAUUCUCAGGCUCCAGAGAUUAGGAUGUGGCUGUAUUUUGGUGGCAGUAGGGGGAACAAUAUUCAGCCAAUCGCAGGCAUCAGAAGCCAUUGCAGAAGUGACUUUUCCAGAAGAGAGUUACUGAUCAUAAUGCUGUCUUUUCUAUUUUGUCUAAUCUGGGUCCCACUUGGUUAGAAAUAGAGCGUUCUGGUGAUAUGUUACACUUGUCUUAAGAAAGUGAAGUUCUCCUUUCUUACAGAAGGACAGCUUAUACACCAUGGCACAGGAGGAAGAAGCAAGUCUAGCAGUUUUGGGUCAUUUUUCAUGUUUAGUUUUCAUUUUUGAUGUAGGUUUUCUAUAUUCUAUUGGUUAUGAAGAUGAAAAUGCUAACACUGUGAGUAUUCUUAUUAUAAAAGUUCCCCUGGGAAGAAAGCACAUUAGACUACCUUUAAGAAUGAAAUUUAUAUUUAUUUUUCUGAUUAGAAAACUAUGGCACAUUUUAGGAAAUUUAUAAAACCCAGAACAGCAUGAAGAAGGAAAAAGUCUUGUAAUAUUAACCACCUAGAAAUGACUGCUAUUGAUAUUUUGCUUUCUGUUACGAUGCUGCAUUAGUUUCCUCCCUAGAGUGUUCAGCAGUUGUUAUACUAUUUGUCCACACUGAUUUGAAACAACAUCAUUAUUAUUAUGGAGAAAUAGGUUUUUGGGAAUUCUGGAGAACUGAUGAAGUGGAGCUGUUAAGGCUUAGGCUCUACUUUUUUUUUCUUUUUUGAGGGCUUGGCCUUUCUCACCUGAAUUUGAUUCAGGUUCAAAGAGGGCCUGACACUUAAAAGCAUAUCCUUCCCGGGAAGUCCAUCAGUUGUUAGUGUUAGUUCUUCUUGAAUACAUCUUCAAACAUGCUUUUGUAGAAUCCCAAUGCUGAGAGAUGUUUCAGGAAGGAGGGGGGCAUGGAACAGGUUAUUCAGAAACAAGUUUAGAAAUUCUGAAUCCUAUAAACACUUUUUUUAAUUGAAAACAUUUGAGAGGCAGCAAGAGCAAGACAGAAAGUUCCCAUCUUCUGGCUCACUCCCCAGAUGCUCACGAUGGCAGGGGCUGGGCCAUCCCAAAGCCCAGGGCUGUGAACUCAACCCCAGUCUCCCACAUGAGUGGCAGGGACCCAGUUACCUGAGCCAUCACCACUGCUCCCAGGAUCUGCAUUACCAGGAAGCUGAACUCGGGAGCCAGAACUGGAAUUGAACCCAUGUACUCUGAUAUAGGACAUGGGCAUCUUAACCAGUAGGCUUAUAUCCCACCCAACAGUGCAUAUGCUCUGCCAGUCACAGUGCAUAUUAAAAUGUCAGAGACUUCCUAAGAUAAAAGAGCUUAUUAAACCUCGAGAUCCUCCCCGACCAGCUGAUACAUUUUUUGCUAACACCUAUAAUAAGGAAUUUUGUGGAGCAUAAUUUGUGAAACACAGUAAUAAUGAAUUUAGGUAAGGCAUAGCCAAAUGAUUUUGGUAUGACAGUACUUUGGUCAAAAAGGGCAUUUAUGUAUACUUGUAUGUAUGUAUAUACUUAUAUACAUGUAUUUAUGUAUAUUUGUAUAUCCAUAUAUUAAUAUUUGUUAGCAUCCUUGCCAAAAUUAGUUUCUCAAAAGUGGCUCAUUUGAUGUAGCAUUAUAAAAGCCUUAUAAAGAUGCCUUACAUCCUAAUAUAUUAGAUGGCUUUUCUCUACCCUUGAGGGAGUUAGAAAUUAAAAUCUAGGAAUCAAGCAGAGUGAAAGUUCAAGGGAGGAGUGGAAGAGAUUUUUGUGUUUUUUAAAAUAUGUAGUGUGAAAGCCUCCCAACCUCUCCCACCAAGUGUCAUUUUGGCCCGAAGCUGAAUCAGUUCUCAUCUGAUUAAAUCAGAACCAAAUUCUGCUAUUUCCUGACUGCUGUGAAGUGCAGAUUUUUAAAAUGUGUCAGAAAGCAAGAAUGUAAUCCUAGUAGGAAACAACUCUCUUAAAAGAGAAUAAUUAGCAUUUCAUUUAAAUCAUCAGUUUACAACUUUUUAACAUACAAAAUUAUUUAUCAUAUUUAUGUAACAUAAUUAUUAAGCAUCUGGUCAGAAUAUCAGCAUUAAUUUCGAAAUUCAGUUUUCUAAAUUUAUACACAUGAAGGUUUGAGAAAUCUUAGUGGUGAAUGGGAAAUCAUACUAACUUUGUUUUAGUAUCUUAUCUGUCACAUUGGAGAACUAUAAUUAAAUGUAUGAGUGUUGUACUUAGGGAAUGGAGAGAAGACUCGGAGACUAUCAACAAGUGUCUCAUCCCAAAAUUGCUUAUUUGAACUUAGGAAGCAACCACAGAUAUGCUCUGUAACACGUUCUUGUUACAGAAACAAACUUCAGCAUUUGGGGGAGUACAACACUGGAUUCUCUGGUUGACUGAAAAUUAAAAGGCCCAUAAGGAGAAAAAGAAAAGGCAACUGUCAUUGCAAAAAAUUUGCUACCGGAUGAUUUUACUACUUUUAGCUAAUUUGUCUUCACCGCAGUCCUACAGAGCAGUGAGUGGCUUUCAAAGGAAUACCAGACCUUUAGUGUCACUGAUGUGACGGUUUGGUCUAUGUGUCAGUUUGCCUACGUAGUGAUGCCCAUCGCCCCCGUCUAGAUAUUGCUGUGCAGGUGUAAUUUAGACAUGAGGAACAUUGAACUCAGUUGACUCUGAGUGAAGCAGAUAACUCUCCAUAAUACGGAUGAGCUUCAUCCAAUCAGUUGGAGGCCUUGAGAGAAAAGACUGAUCAGCCAAAGAGGGAGGAAUUCCGAUUCACACUGCCUUCUCACCCCCAUGACACUGACUGCUGGAAUGUCCAUUCUGCUGACCUGCCCUGAAUAUUUUACACUUGCCAGGCCCACAGUGGGGGGAGCAGAUUCCUCAGAAAUCAAUCCACCUCAUUCUCCAUUCCUGCCACUUUACACACACACCCUAGUGGUUCUGUUUCCCCGAGAACCCAACAGGUAUGCCUGGGAACUUACUAGAAAUGCAUUUCCUUGGCCUCACCGCACCCCUGCUAGGUCAGAAACUGGGGAUAGGACCCAGCCAUCUGAUUCAACAAGCCCUCUAGCUGAUGUUCAUGACCUCUAAGUUUGAGGGCCACAGUAGGUAAAGGGAAGAGGCCUCUGAAUUGAGGUUCAGAAAAAUUGAUGUGCUCAGCUCCAUCCAACAGGUUAAUGGUGUGGCCAAGAUUGAUUCUUGAUGCUUUGAAAAGAUAAAGUAAUAUUCAUGAGUGUCCUAGUAAUCCUUAAAUCCCUCUUAAAGUUCACUGUUGUGAUACCCAUUUUUCUUAAGAGACACCUGAAAGGAAAGAAUGGUGUGUAGAUACUGGUUCCAAGGCUUUGUACCUCUAGCAAUCCCUUUUAUUAUUUCAUAUGCGGAAAGAGUUUGACAAACCAAGCUAUGUUUCAGGGUAGUGGUUGUUUUGUUGUAACUGCAGCUCAGAGCUCCUCAUGAUCAUGGGGUUGCCAGUGCUUCAGCAUUGCGGUGAUGUAACCCAGGCCAAAGCAGAGAUGUCUGAUGUUUUGGUUAACUGUAAACCUAAAGGUAGGAUUUCCAUUAGGCAUUUUGAAUAUUGAAAAACCUAAGGACUUCAUUACUAUCCUGAGGUUUUCAAAGGCACCUGGAGACCCUUUGUUGGAUAUCUUGGCACUGAAGGAUGUUUUCCGGUGAAGAUGCUAAGUGAUGCCAUGUUACACGUUAGGAAUGCCUAAAAGAUAAAUUACUGUUAAAAAUGCCCAAAUCCCAGCAGUGCCCCAUGUUUGUAGUCACCAAAAUGGAUGUUCUGUUUUGGGUGGGGAUCUCAGUCAAGCAGUAGAUCAGAUACUCAGGGUCUCCCUUUCUUGGGGCUCUGCUGUUUUCAGUGUGUGACUUCCAAGGCUGCUGUGGAAGGGGGAGCACAUGGAGAAUUUUCACAGUCAGGCUGGGAACUGGCAUUCAUCAUUUCCAUCCCCGUUCUGCUGUCAAGAGUUCAGUCACAUGGCCCACACACGACUGCAAGGAGAGGCCAGGGAAUGUAGUCCGUGUGCCUGGGUUCAAGAAAGAUGAGUUUGGUGAUAGGCUGGCUAUCGCUGCGAUCUGGGCCUGGUGUUCUCCAAUGUUGCAAGUUUGGAAUUGUGCCCAUGAUGAAUGUGUGUCCUCUUGGGAUUCCCACAGCCUCACAGAUGUGAGGGGUGGGAAUGUGUUCAGUUGUGAUCCAUGACACCUGACUCUCUGUGUCCUUACCAGCUUGUAGGAACAGAUCUAGAGCCACAGGAGUGGGAGCUCAUGUUGCACUGCCUCUUGCCCAUGCCUACAGCAGAGACCUACAGCCUUGGUUUCUGUCUAGUUGUAUCUGAUACACUACUCUCUCAGCCAUGCUUAUCACAUAGUGUCUGCCAUCUUUUCCUCCUCCCUCCGUGUGCAUCCAAACCUCUUUUCUCACCAUUUAUGUUCACUGCCUGUUGAGUCACCGAGGGCAGUCUAGUGCUGCUGCUGUGCUGAGAGUACUGUCUCUGGGGCACCAUAGACCACCGUUCCCUAAGAGGAUGGGGUCAUGUUGAUUCAGGGCAGAAGUCAAGAGAAUACCCAUUGUUAGGGAGUCGCUUUCAGUGGGAACUCAGCUGGAGCAGGUAAGUCCCACGUGGCUUUAUUCCCCCAAGCCUCUGUCUAUGUGUCCUCUUAGCCUUCCGUGAUCUGUCCUGGGCUUCCUGAGAACUGGGCAGCUGGGCUGAGAGAGGUGAAUGCCAGGUCUCUCCUGGUCUUGGAAGUCUCAGCAUAUCGCAUCCUCUGGAUUUUUAUUGCCCAAGCAAGUCACAAAGCCAACCUUGAUUCUAUCUCUUCUGUUUUUGGGAAUGGCAGGAAUACUUGGUAGCUAUCAUUGGAGAUUAUCACUGUGUCUUGUUACUCUCUCCACUUUGUUACCUGCAUCUCAAGGCUGUGCUACCUGGAUUUCAGUAUAUCAGAGAUAAUCAAUAAAUCAUUCCACUAGCAGAGUAACCUUUAUUUUUGUUCUUCAGAGAGCUCAGGCUAAUAAUAUCAUAAUACCUAUGUGAAGUGUGCAGAGAAAAUAAUGGUAGGCUGCUGGUGGGUGUUCAUAUUAAGAGUUAAGCAAUGGCCUGGAUUCUAAGCUGAAGGACCAGGGAGCCUUAAACUAGUGGUGGUAGACUGUAAAGCAGUAGUUAAGGAAGAUGAAUCUCAAAAUGGUAUAUAAAGAGCUUUGCUUGGUGACAACAGUAAGUAAGAAUGUAUUAUUUCAAAAAUCAUCACAAGAGUAGGUUUUAAAUGUUUACAUCACACAAAAAUAUAAAUGAGGUAAUGAAUUUGUUCAUUAGCUUUAUGUCAUCAUUCUGCACUAUACAUGUAUAUCAAAAUAUCACAUUGAAUGUCAUCUAAUACAUACAUGGGACAUAUGCAGUUAUUAUUUAUCAGAUAAAAAUUGAAGUCAAUUUUAGAAAGAGAAGCAAAAGAGAGUAUCAUUAGCCAUGCUAUUGACCAUGGCCACCAUGUGCAGACAAGAAACGAGUAGUCCUAGAUAGCAGAAAGAAUAGUGGAGCCUGAAUCAGUCAUGAAAGGCAGAGGAGUCAGCAGCAAGCCUCGGAGAGGAAGUGGGGAGACAGAAAGGUAGAACAGAAGGCUGGGUGCAAUAAACUUCCACAAAUAGUUUUUACACACUCUUAAUGGGAGUGGGAACUGUGGGAUAACAGGUUAAGCUGCUGCUUAGGAUACCUGCAUCCCUUAUCAGAAUAGCAGUUCAGGGGCAAGCGCUGUGGCGCAGUGGGUUAAAGACCUGGUCUGCAGUGCUGGCAUUCCAUGUGGGCACCGGUUCAAGACCCGGCUGCUCUACUUCCAAUCCCGCUCUCUGUAUGGCCUGGGAAAGCAGUGGAAGAUGGCCCAAGUCCUUGGGCCCCUGCACCCAUGGGGGAGACCCGGAGGAAGCUCCUGGCUUUGGAUCGGAACUGCUCCGGAUGUUGAUGGCCAUCUGGGGAGUGAGCCAGCGGAUGGAAGACCUCUCUCUCUCUAUUUCUCUCUCUCUCUCUCUCUCUCUCUCUCUCUCCCUCUCACUCUCCCUCUGCCUUUCAAAAAAUAAAAUAAAUCUUUAUAUAAAAAAGAAUAGCACUUGAACUGCUCUCUACUCUCUUUCUGAUCCAGCUUCAUGCUGAGGCAUCAGGGAAGGCAACAAACGAUGGUGCAAAUACUUGGAUUCUUGCCAUCUGUUGGGGAGAGCACAGUGGAGUUCCGGGUUGCUGGCUUCAACCUGGAGUAUCCCUGGCUGAUGUGAGCAUUUGGCAAGGGAACCCACAGAUUCCUUCUCUACUCCUCUCUGUGCCAUGCUGCCUCGCAAAUAAAUAAAGCCUAAAAGAGAGUUCUGACUUAAACAUAAAAUUCCUAAACUAGUCAGAGAGGCAAUUGAGACACUAUUUUAUUUAUACUUAAUUUACUCUAUCAGUCAAUUUCUAUUGUGUUAUGCUAGGGUGGCAAAUUGCCCCCAAAUCACAGUGACUUGCAAGAACCCAAGUUUGAUUUCUCAGCCACAUUAUGGCUGUUCUAGUCAGCUCAAUUCUGCUUCUAUCAACUCCAUUUUGCUAUCUAGGUUGAAGAAGCACUUCCUGUCUAGGACACGCCUGUGUCAGGGUGGAGUAAAAAUUAAAUUUGGUGGAAGUAUGUGAUAGCGUUCAGAGUUUUGCCAGGAGUUGCACAUGUACUAUAAUUUUUGUUUUAUUACAGUCCAUUGUAUAGGUAGGCCUAAUGUCUUUGGGGACAAGAAUUCUCCUCUCAUAAGAAGAAACAGCAGGGAAGGGUCAGCAGGAAGGAGUAAUGGAUGUUGCCAUGGGUCUAUUGUUUUCUAUUACACAAAUAAUGAAAAGUCAUCAUACAAAAGACUGGCAAGCACUUGGAGGACAUUCCAAGUCCAACCCCUAACCCCGUUUCUCUGGUGCUAUUAGUGUUUUAAUAUAAAUAUUUUCAGACAUUUUUACCUGGGAAAUUUCUAUAAUGGAAUUAAAUGAUGUGCUAUCUUGUAGCUUGUGAAAUACAAUGAGCAUGCAUGCCUGUCAGUAAACAUACAGCUACAUCCUUUAUCAUAUUGGCCCUCUGGGAUUCUAUUGUGUGAAUUUAAUUAAUAACUUAUUCUUUGUCCGUUUAGGUUUUUCCAAUUUGACUUUUAAUAAACAUCUUAGAGGUAUAUGUUUUACCUGUGUAUCAGAUUAUUCCUCUUGCAUGAAUUCUACCAGUGAAAUAAUUUAAAGCAAUAUCCUUUUUGAUACAUCAUUGACAAAUUUUAUAGCUUAUUUUUUAAGGCCCAACUCUCCCUUUUCUCCCUCUUAAAAUGGAGUAGUGUUACCAUAGCAAUAGGAAAAAAAAAAUCAGUUCUCUCAUGGAAGUGCCUAAUUUGUCUUUGUCUUCGUUUUAACUCAGCAAGUUACAUUUUGUGCCAAGGUUGGCAUAUAGAACACCUGUGCGGGGCCUGUUGUGGGUUAGAAGGUCGGUGCCCUCUGAGAGAUGACCUCUGCCUCUCUGGUUACCUUGCUUAACAAAUUGGCUGCCCUGUUGUCUGCUGGGAACUGCUUUGUCAGGCACAGUUGGCCAGAUAAGUUACACUGGGUAGGGAAGAGUCAGUGACUGAUAGGUAUCCCUUUAGCCUGUAAUUUGGGAAGUGAUGGCCAUAAGCAGUACAGUUUAUGCAAAGGUCAUUAUUUUUUAAUGAUAGAUUUGUUUUGACAUCUUGUGCAUUUCUUAAGAUAGUUAAGAGGCACAGUCCAAGCUAUCACAUCUGAAUUUUCUCAAGGAGAGGAAGAAAAUUAAGCCAUGAUGAUUGCUUUGGCACCUUCUCCCUUUAUCCUACCUUCUCAGAAGAAUAUACUGUUCUGAAGACUAAGUCUAAAGUCCAGAUUCUGAAAAUGGUUGAAUUUAAAAAUGGUACAAGUGUGAUACUGGAGGUGUUCAUGUGUGGAGGUACUCAUGGGGUGGGUAAGGGGUGGACCACCUUUCUUGGGGUGUGGGGAAGACAGAGGUGAGCAGUAGAAAAUUUUCCUCAUUAGCCAGCUGCUGAGGUCAAGCUGGAAACUCUACCCUGAAGCCACCUUUCUACCACUCUUCAGUGAUGUUAACCAGCAUACCAAAUUGCCUAUUCUGUUAUGGCAGGAAAUAAAUUGACAUGCAUGUUUAAAACAUGCAGAAUUCCACAUGGUAACUGGAGCAAGAGCCCUUAUGCAGCUUUCUUAUCUUUUUUUUUUUUUUCUCUAUAAAGAAGACAGGGUAGUAAAGAAUUGAGACCUGAGCUUUAGAGAAAGAGACUCAGGCUUUGGUUCUGUCUGCUACCUUCCAGCUGUGCAAACUAGGCGUUUACCUUCAACCUCUGUGCCUUCUCAUUUAUGAAAGGAGGCACUGUAGCAGUGUUCAGCUUGCAGGAUAUUUAUACAAUUAAAAUACAUAAGACAUGUAUUUGUGUGAUCCCUGCUGAGCAUAUAAAGAGCUCAAUAAAUGGUGCAUACAUACGUGAGAUGUGUGUACAUGAGGGUACCUCACAAAUAGGGAAUUAAAAAUAAAUCCACUUUGGUGCAAAAUAUUUUGGAAUUCAUGCAUAUGAGGAUCUUCAAAAGGUCUGUGGAUAAGCAAAUUAUGAAAGACUAUGCAUGGGUUUUGAAUUUUGAUUUUAAUUGAAUUGAAAGGUAAUGCGCAUUUUCCACAAAUGUCUUGAAGCUCUCCUGUAUACAUGAAAAUGCUUCGGGAAGUUCAUGCAAAAAUUAAAAGCUGAGCUUAUUUUGGUGUGAAACAUUUUUGAAAUUCAUACAUUUGGUGCUCGGUUAAUUGUCACCGAUCAGGGAAAACAUGAUAUUUGUCCCUUUGGGACUGGCUUAUUUCACUCAGCAUGAUGUUUUCCAGAUUCCUUCAUUUUGUUGCAAAUGACCGGAUUUCAUUUUUUUUUUCUGCUGUAUAGUAUUCUAUAGUGUACAUGUCCCAUAAUUUCUUUAUCCAGGCUACUGUUGAUGGGCAUUUAGGUUGGUUCCAGGUCUUAGCUAUUGUGAAUUGAGCUGCAAUAAACAUUAAGGUGCAGACCGCUUUUUUGUUUGCCAAUUUAAUUUCCUUUGGGUAAAUUCCAAGAAGUGGGAUGGCUGGGUUGUAUGGUAGGGUUAUAUCCAGGUUUCUGAGGAAUCUCCAGACUGACUUCCAUAGUGGCUUAACCAGUUUGCAUUCCCACCAACAGUGGGUUAGUGUCCCUUUUUCCCCACAUCCUCGCCAGCAUCUGUUGUUGGUAGAUUUCUGAAUGUGAGCCAUUCUAACCGGGGUGAGGUAAAACCUCAUUGUGGCUUUGAUUUGCAUUUCCCUGAUUGCUAAUGACCUUGAACAUUUUUUCAUGUGCCUGUUGGCCAUUUGGAUUUCCUCUUUUGAAAAAUGUCUAUUGAGGUCCUUGGCCCAUCUCUUAAGUGGGUUGUUUGUUUUGUUGUUGUGGAGUUUCUUGAUCUCUUUGUAGAUUCUGGUUCUUAACCCUUUAUCUGUUGCAUAGUUUGCAAAUAUUUUUUCCCAUUCUGUCAGUUGCCUCUUCACUUUCCUGACUGUUUCUUUUGCCAGUACAGAACUUCUCACUUUGAUGCAAUCCCAAUAGUUAAUUUUGGCUUUGACUUCCUGUGCCUCCGGGGUCUUUUCCAAGCACCAAAAAGGAAACCUGUUGAAGUGAAACAGACACUAUGAGAAACAGUGACUUGAUCAGCCCUUGUCCUGAAUGUUGAUGAACAACUUAAUACUUUAUCCCGUUUAGUAUUUUUUUUUUGUUCUACUUAAUACUAUUGGUUGAACUCUGUAAUUAACACACAGUUAUUCUUAGGUGUUUAAAUUUAACUGAAAAGUGAUCCCUGUUAAAUAUAAGAGUGGGAAUAAGAGAGGGAGGAGAUGUAUAAUUUGGGACAUGCUCAACCGGACUUGCCCCAAAUGGUAGAGUUAGAAACGUGCCUGGGGAUUCCAAUUCAAUCCUGUCAAAGUGGCAUGUACCAAUGCCAUCCACUAGUCCAAGUGAUCAAUUUCAGUUCACAACUGAUCAUAUUGAUAGGUCUAAGAGUCAGAGGGAUCACAUAAACAAGACUAGUUUCUGCUAAUACUAACUGAUAGAAUCAAAAAGGGAGAGAACAAUCCAGCAUGGGAAGCGGGAUACACAGCAGACUCAUAGAAUGGCAGAUGUCCUAAACAGUGCUCUGGCCUCAGAAUCAGCCCUUAAGGCAUUCAGAUCUGGCAGAAGGGCCCAUGAGAGUAUUUUAGGCAUGGAAAGCCAAGACACUCAGGAAAAAAAAAAAAACCUAAAUGAAAGAUCUCUGCGAGUGAGAUCCCAGUGGAAAGAACAGGCCAUCAAAGAAGGAGGUACCUUUCUCUGAAGGGAGGAGAGAACUUCCACUUUGACUUUGACCUUGUCUAAAUAUGAUCAGAGUCGGUGAACUCAAAAGGCUUCCAUAGCCUUGGCAGCUCAUGACAAGAGCCUAGGGUGAUUACAGACGCCAUAAACAAGAAUGUCAAUUUGUUAAGUCAACAACAGGAGUCACUAUGCACUUAUUCUUCAUGUAGGAUCUCUGUCCUGAAUGUGUUGUACAAUGUGAAUUAAUGCUAUAACUAGUACUCAAACAGUACUUUACACUUUGUGUUUCUGUGUGGGUGCAAACUGUUAAAAUCUUAAUAUAUACUAAAUCGAUCUUCUGUAUAUAAAGAAAAUUGAAAAUGAAUCUUGAUGUGAAUGGAAUGGGAG
Oryctolagus cuniculus (rabbit) is the source of this 23219-nucleotide non-coding RNA. The record is from RefSeq and is a predicted model, not a curated record. NCBI's taxonomy places the organism in Eukaryota, Metazoa, Chordata, Mammalia, Lagomorpha, Leporidae.